UGGAGGCAGCAGUGGGGAAUCUUGCGCAAUGGGCGAAAGCCUGACGCAGCAACGCCGCGUGAGCGAAGACGGCCUUCGGGUUGUAAAGCUCUGUCAGGAGGGACGAAGCCACUCAGGUGAAUAGCCGAGAGGGUGACGGUACCUCCAGAGGAAGCCCCGGCUAACUACGUGCCAGCAGCCGCGGUAAUACGUAGGGGGCAAGCGUUGUCCGGAAUCAUUGGGCGUAAAGCGCGUGUAGGCGGCCAUCCAAGUCCGAUGUGAAAGCUCGGGGCUCAACCCCGAGUCUGCAUUGGAAACUGGAUGGCUUGAGUCCGGAAGAGGAGACUGGAAUUCCUGGUGUAGCGGUGAAAUGCGCAGAUAUCAGGAAGAACACCGGUGGCGAAGGCGGGUCUCUGGGACGGUACUGACGCUGAGACGCGAAAGCGUGGGGAGCAAACAGGAUUAGAUACCCGGGUAGUCCC
This 461-nucleotide ribosomal RNA is filed under the name uncultured bacterium. RNAcentral's name for it is "bacterial SSU rRNA". It matches the Rfam family "Bacterial small subunit ribosomal RNA", at positions 343 to 797 of the family's 1533-position model. The record is from RNAcentral.